Molecule: long non-coding RNA, 205 nt
Filed under: Elaeis guineensis (African oil palm)
Lineage: Eukaryota; Viridiplantae; Streptophyta; Magnoliopsida; Arecales; Arecaceae
Description: long non-coding RNA (EGUI_LNC013152)
Source: RNAcentral
GCGUGACUGUUCUAGGUGCCAGUUUGACCAGCAUGACCUUAAUCCAAUUCAAUAAUUUGGUGAAGUUAGUGGGAGGAUUGUGGUUUACUGAUUGAUCUUUUUUCUUCUCUUCUCUUAAUUCAUAAAUUAAAUCUUCUAAAUUAUUAGGUCUUUUAAAUGAGAUAGUUAUAAUGAUAACUAAAUCAUAGCCUCCCAUUAAGUUGGG